Long non-coding RNA from Harpia harpyja (harpy eagle), 748 nucleotides. RefSeq lists it as uncharacterized. NCBI's taxonomy places the organism in Eukaryota, Metazoa, Chordata, Aves, Accipitriformes, Accipitridae. The record is from RefSeq and is a predicted model, not a curated record. The transcript has 4 exons.
UCCCCUCCCCUCCCUCAGUCGCCGCGCGCGCGCGCCGGCCGCAGGCUGCACUCGCGCCGCUCGCCCGCCCCCCGAUUGGCCCGUGCCCUCGCGCCGCCGGCGCUCGACAGGGAGCUCAUAAUAAAAGGGGCUGCAUCAUCCUCACACUUGGCAGAGUUCCUUGUCAAAUUUGGGCCCAAGGGAUGCCAGGAGCGCCAUAGGAGACCCCUUUUCCCACCCUCCACCCCGGAUGGCCUGGGAGAUGUGACAGCCCCCGGUGUGAGCACUGAUGCCAAGGAGAACCAUGCGGCAGCAGCGCAGUGAAGCCGGGCAUCACAGGGUUUUGCUCGCUGGAAUCCAGACGGCAGCGAUGGAGGCCGUUCCAGCACGGCAGCGGCAAUGAAGGGCCCUGUCCCCCUGACUCAGCUCGGCUCCGGCACCGGACCAUGAGCUCCCACCGCCCCCCGCGGCACGACGGCUCUGAUGCCGAGGGUUGCCCAGCGGCAUUUUGGGCGCAAAAUGGCAGUGUGCCGACGGUGGGGGGUGAACCCCCUCGCCUGGCCACCACCACGCCGGCCGUGCCCAAAAUGGGGGUGCGUGCCCGCAUCGCUGACUGGCCCCCCAAGAGAGACGCUGUCAAGGACCCCCCUGCUGGCACCAGCCCGUGCCGGGAGGCAGCAGGCAGCCGGGAUGCCGCUUGCUGCCGGGGUUUUGCCAGCGGGCAGCAGCCCCUCACCAGCGUUUCGGGCUUUAAGGCCCUUCACCGCCU